CCCAAUUUAUAUUUGUUUAUUUUUCCCAUUUGUUGGAGUUCUAUAUCUUCCUCCAAAAAUAUAUGUAUACAUCCAUAACAUUUCUUCUUUUUAAGCAUCACUUUUCACUAUUUCACUUAGCUCAGUUGCAAGAAGUGAAACAUGAUUUGAUAGCAUUUAUAUAGUGAUAACAUCUUGCAAACGCUUUAGAUACAGACAGGACAAAUGUGUUUUUCUCCUUUUUUCAGGAGAUGGCAGUCAGAUAAGCAACAUCUGUGCCUAAAAAGUGCCUAAUAAAGGAGUUAAAACUAUGGAGUACCGUAUUGCUAGAAAGGAUUGGAGGAGUGGAAAAGCGCCUGGGAACUUCGUCUUCCUGAUGACUCGUAGGAGGAAGGUGGUGCCCUUCCCAGGAUGGAAGCAGCAGCUGGCAGAUCUGUCCCAGCUUCAGCAGCUUGGAAGACUGCCUCUCUGCCGCCGUCAAAAAGGGCUUUUCUUGGAUCAAACAGGAACUUUGCGAUGUCCCUGGGAUCGACAGGAUGUGCCCUCCUCUACAGGACUGUUUAGGUCUGGUGGGACUGUCCUGCAACGGAGAUAUCAGCGGCGAUCUUGGAGCUUCAAGAUCACACGCUGUACUGCUGAGACGCCAGCUCUGCCCCCCCACAGUUGCUGUGGUUAUGAAGGUGUAGGAAAAACAAAUGGACCAAUUUGGGUUCUGCCAACCAGUGCACAUAUAUGAUUCCCAAUGUGUAUUCAAUACUCAUGAUCCCCAUUUAUGACCUCAGUUAGCUUCUGACCAGCAAAUCAAUGGAGAUACCAGCAGGAAUUUGCAAGUCACAGUCAUGUGAAAUUCCCUUUAACAACCCACAGUGAUGUGCUUAACAACUGCCGAGGAUCAGGUGUAAGUUGGCACUCUCAUGUGACAUCAUGCUCAUGAUCAGGCUGCUUAGUGAUACAGAUGCCAAUCUAAAUUGCGGUCAGUAAGUGAGGACUGCUUGAAUUGGGAUAUCACCAGAGUGGUUGUGGACAGUAUUUUCUGCCCAUAUUUGGAGCUGAGGACUCCCAUGAGCAAAACAAGUUAGAUGUUUGGUGUCAGGAAUCCACGUAAUGCAGCCAUCUGAAAACAGAACUCUGAGGUAGGUUGAUUCCUCAAAGAACAAUUUUAUUUGGAGAUAUCAUCUUGGCACAAACUAGUGGAAAGCCAAUUCUGAAUAAUCCCGUACUUUCCACUCCUUAAAAGAGAAAGCUUCCUGCUUUCUCAAAACAAUAAAUUACAUUGUCCAAUCUGGGUACUAGUUGGUUGCCUGGUUACCUCUCUCCUCCCCCUUUGGCCAGCCAGCUGUGGGAACAUCUCUGACUCAGCAGAGAGCUAUUGUGUUUUUGUCUACAAAAUCUCCUCUUUCACUCCCUCCCUUCAGCUCCAAGCUGUCUCACCUGAAGCCAUGAGAAAAGAACCAAACCGGCCACAGUCAGAUCAGCUUUAAGCUUGACAUUUGGAUGUGCACUGUAAGAAUUUGUGAUUGACCCAAAUCAGCAAGAAAAUUUCAUGAUUGAGUGGAUAUUUGAACUUGGAUCUUAAUAGCCUUUCAUAUGUCAAAUCAAUCAUGAUUCAUGUGAGAGGUUAUUCUAGCAUUGUGGCAUGUUUGCUUUGUCAUUGGAACAUAUACUUUUUUUAUAUAUCUACAAUAAUUUUAUAAACAAUUAACAUGACACUUUUCUUUGAAUCUUACAGGCAAAGAAGAUGGCAAUAAGAGCACACUAGACAACUGAUAAUAACAAGCAACUUUGAUGAGGAAACAAAAUCAAGCCAGAAAUCAAAAUGUUUUCCAUUUCCUUCAGAAAACCAUAUAAUUUUUCCUCUUCCCAAUCAUAAGGGGUGAGAGAAAGGAGAGGAAAUUGAGAAAAGAUUUUGAGCUGGAGAAAGUAGAGUAUGCAAAACUCAAAGAUAUAUUAAGUGAAAAGUCAAGGGAGAUUAUUUUUCAGAAAAAGAGUGAAAUAUCUGGAAGUCAGUGGGGAGGAAAAGGUCACUUGGAGGGCAGGCAGACAUGCAAGCUUCACUCUGGCAGAAAAAAAUGGACUUUAAUCAAAAUUGCACUAAAAAGGGAAUCGCACAUAUUUUUGCUCUCAAUAAUAUCAGUGUUGGAAAAGCUCCAUAGAUACCCCUAUUGUAGGAAAAGCACAGAUUGCAAACCACUGAUUAUGCAUGAGAAGAUCCACACAGAAUAAAAUCCAUAAAAGUGUUCCCAAUGUAGAAAAUACUUUAGUGAGCAUGGCAGCAUGGUGAUACAUCAGAAGACUCACAUCAUGUAUGAGUGUCCAGAUUGUGUGAAAGUUUCAUUGGAAAUUUCCAUCUCAUGAGACAACAGAGGAGAAAAAAAACAGGAGAAAAAAACCCAAUUUGAAGUAGAUAAACCCUUUGAAUGCCCUAUCUGUGGGAAAAGUUUCAGUCACAAUUACAGCGUGAUAAACCACUAGAGGAUACACACAGGAAAGAAACCCUUUGAAUGUCUUGAGUGUGGAAAAGGUUUCAUUACAAAUUCUCACCUCUCACCAGAGGAAUGACACAGGAGAUAAACCAUUUGAAUGUCCUGAUUGUGGAAAAAGUUUCAGUCCAAAUUCCAACCUGGUGAUACACCUGAGGACUCACACAGGAGAGAAACCCUUUGAAUGCCCUGAUCGUGGGAAAACUUUCAUUAGAAAUUCCCACCUGAUUAGCCACCAGAGGAUUCACACGGAAGGCAUACUCUUUCAAUGUCCUGAUUGUGGGAAAAGUUUCAGUCAUAAUUCCAACCUCAUGAUGCACCAGAGGAUUCAUACAGGAGAGAAACCAUAUGAGUAUCCAGACUGUGGAAAAUAUUUCAGUACUAUAGCUAGCCUUCUAAAUCAUGUGCUUACAUGCACAGGAGAAAUCAUUUAAGUGCCCCCAGUGUGAACAGUGCUCUAGGCAGCCUUUCAACCUUACUGCACACAGGAAAAUCCACAUGAGGCCCAAAGUGAUGAAUGUAGAAAAGUCUUGAAUUCCAUUUUAAAUAUUCCAUUGUAAGUUCAGCUCAGAAAUUGACUCUUUGAGUGCAAACAAUUUGCCUGAUUUUUUGUCAUCAAAUAUGUCAUAGUAUUAGAUGGGAAGGAGGAAAGGAAAAAAAUGGAACACAUUCAUUUGAUAAUGUUGUCUGGCCAUCACCAGCAGAAGUUGCUGGAUAUUUAUUUUUGCAGGAAUUGUACAAUUCUGCAAAAAUCUUUUUAGGAAGUGUUCUUUGCCGUUUUAUCAUAAUAAUAGAAAUAUCACAUGUUGAGUCCCAGCCUUCUUGUCCCUGGGUUUCCUCAAGAUUUUCAGCCCUAGAAUUCCCCAGAUCCUGACAUCUCUUCAAGAUAAGAGCACUCAGGCUAUAUUUCAGUGGUGGGAUUAAAAAAAAAAUACUAUCGGUUCUGUGGGCGUGGCUUGGUGAGCAAGGCAUUGCUUGAUGGGUGUGGCUUGGUAGGCAUGGCAGGAAAAGGAUACUGUAAAAUCUCCAUUCCCUCCCCACCCCACUAACCUGCUUUCCAGCUCUGUUCUCCUGUGCAGGACAACANAGGAAAAGGAUACUGUAAAAUCUCCAUUCCCUCCCCACCCCACUAACCUGCUUUCCAGCUCUGUUCUCCUGUGCAGGACAACAAAAGACCCAGCCAAUCAGCUGGGACUCGGAAGGCAGAGAAUACACGGGGGGGCAGUCAGAGGUGGUAUUUGCUGGUUUUCCAAACUACUCAAAAUUACUGGUUCUCCAGAACUGGUCUGAACCUGCUGAAUACCCACCUCUGCUAUAGUUAGAGAUUAUGGCUCCCCAUAUAAGGAGCAAGCGAAAGGAGAGUAGAAGUGGAAUGAGUCCAAUAUUCAUCUUUUCCUAACAAUUCCAGAAAUUCAUUGCACCCAGCUCGUCUGCUCAGAUUGUUUCAAGAAAGAGACAUGAACGUGGAAGAAACCACAUGAAUAGCAAAUAUAUUGGAGGAGUUUGGGGCAGUGACAAAAGCAGUUUAAAAUUUCAGAUGUAAAGGCUGUUAUACCCUACAGAUGACUUUCAUAGAGAAGAGCUGUAAGAAUAUUGAGCAGAAAAGAAAUUGUUUGUCAGGUCCCCAUAGAUCCCUAUUGUUCUGUAUGCAAAUAACCGGUUUCAAAUAACACAUUCUGAUUGGAUACUGAGAA
Long non-coding RNA from Laticauda laticaudata (blue-ringed sea krait), 4153 nucleotides. The record is from Ensembl. Lineage: Eukaryota; Metazoa; Chordata; Lepidosauria; Squamata; Elapidae.